GGGGCAGUAGCUCAGCUGGGAGAGCACCUGGUUUGCAACCAGGGGGUCGGCGGUUCAAACCCGCUCUGCUCCACCA
Molecule: transfer RNA, 76 nt
Filed under: Candidatus Omnitrophota bacterium
Lineage: Bacteria; Pseudomonadati; Candidatus Omnitrophota
Description: Candidatus Omnitrophica bacterium tRNA-Ala
Rfam family: tRNA
About the family: Transfer RNA (tRNA) molecules are approximately 80 nucleotides in length. Their secondary structure includes four short double-helical elements and three loops (D, anti-codon, and T loops).
Source: RNAcentral